This 465-nucleotide ribosomal RNA is filed under the name Vreelandella stevensii. RNAcentral describes it as "partial 16S ribosomal RNA". It matches the Rfam family "Bacterial small subunit ribosomal RNA", at positions 338 to 795 of the family's 1533-position model. Lineage: Bacteria; Pseudomonadati; Pseudomonadota; Gammaproteobacteria; Oceanospirillales; Halomonadaceae. The record is from RNAcentral.
CCUACGGGGGGCUACAGUGGGGAAUAUUGGACAAUGGGGGGAACCCUGAUCCAGCCAUGCCGCGUGUGUGAAGAAGGCCCUCGGGUUGUAAAGCACUUUCAGUGAGGAAGAACGCCUGGUGGUUAAUACCCAUCAGGAAAGACAUCACUCACAGAAGAAGCACCGGCUAACUCCGUGCCAGCAGCCGCGGUAAUACGGAGGGUGCGAGCGUUAAUCGGAAUUACUGGGCGUAAAGCGCGCGUAGGUGGCUUGAUAAGCCGGUUGUGAAAGCCCCGGGCUCAACCUGGGAACGGCAUCCGGAACUGUCAAGCUAGAGUGCAGGAGAGGAAGGUAGAAUUCCCGGUGUAGCGGUGAAAUGCGUAGAGAUCGGGAGGAAUACCAGUGGCGAAGGCGGCCUUCUGGACUGACACUGACACUGAGGUGCGAAAGCGUGGGUAGCAAACAGGAUUAGAUACCCCUGUAGUC